AUGGAGUGGCUUGAAGAGAUGAGCCCAAUGUGGGUAGAUUGGAAAGAGAAGACAUUACGGUUCACACAUAAUGGAGUUUGCAUCACUCUUCGGGGCAUUAAAGAUAAACAUGGCAGUUGCUCAACUAUUUCUGCUAAACAGCUUCAGGGCUUGGUUAACAAUGGAGGUGUGGUGCAUAUGUUAGAAUUGUGUGUUGUGCAGGACGUAUUCGAGGCACCUGGCUCAUCCACCCCUCUACUACCAGCCAUUACCCGAGUUAUUUCUCAGCAUGAGGCUGUGUUUGAAGACCCUCACGUGUUGCCUCCUCACCGCAGUUUUGACCAUAACAUUCCAUUGCUUCCAGGGGUGAAGCCUGUUAAUGUCAAGCCAUAUCGUUAUGCUACUAUGCAGAAAACUAAGAUUGAGUGA
Molecule: ribosomal RNA, 408 nt
Filed under: Triticum aestivum (bread wheat)
Lineage: Eukaryota; Viridiplantae; Streptophyta; Magnoliopsida; Poales; Poaceae
Description: partial small subunit ribosomal RNA
Source: RNAcentral